RNAcentral lists this unclassified non-coding RNA (147 nucleotides) under uncultured fungus. Its description in RNAcentral is "sequence contains ITS1". Lineage: Eukaryota; Fungi. The record is from RNAcentral.
UUAGAUUAUGUUUUGGAUUCAGACACAGACUCUACAGCAUAAAGGCGGCGCCGGAGCGCCGAAGCACGUUUCGCUUCCACAGGUUUGAAGGGUUGAAGGCCAAAAGGCCAUUCAGUAAUGAUCCCUCCGCAGGUUCACCUACGGAGA